This 303-nucleotide ribosomal RNA is filed under the name Triticum aestivum (bread wheat). RNAcentral's name for it is "partial small subunit ribosomal RNA". The record is from RNAcentral. Lineage: Eukaryota; Viridiplantae; Streptophyta; Magnoliopsida; Poales; Poaceae.
AUGGCAUAUAAUAGAGCCCCUGGUCCUGACAACAUUCCUGUUGAAUUCUAUUAGGUGUGCUGGGAUAUUGUUAAAGAGGACAUUAUGAGGUUGUUUGCGAGCUUUCAUAAUGGAACUUUGGAUGUCCAACGUCUGAACUAUGGGGUGAUCACCCUUUUGCCCAAAUCUGCGAGCACGGAUAAAAUCCAACAAUUUAGGCCUAUCUGUCUCCUGAGAUGUCCAUACAAACUCAUUACUAAAGUUUUGGAUCGGCGAGUGGAGAAAUACGCUGAUAAGCUCAUUAGCUCGACCCAAAAUGCUUUU